CUCCAGACUCCUACGGGAGGCAGCAGUGGGGAAUAUUGCACAAUGGGGGAAACCCUGAUGCAGCGACGCCGCGUGAGCGAUGAAGUAUUUCGGUAUGUAAAGCUCUAUCAGCAGGGAAGAAGAUGACGGUACCUGACUAAGAAGCCCCGGCUAACUACGUGCCAGCAGCCGCGGUAAUACGUAGGGGGCAAGCGUUAUCCGGAUUUACUGGGUGUAAAGGGAGCGUAGACGGCGAUGCAAGCCAGAUGUGAAAGCCCGGGGCUCAACCCCGGGACUGCAUUUGGAACUGUGUGGCUGGAGUGUCGGAGAGGCAGGCGGAAUUCCUAGUGUAGCGGUGAAAUGCGUAGAUAUUAGGAGGAACACCAGUGGCGAAGGCGGCCUGCUGGACGAUGACCGACGUUGAGGCUCGAAAGCGUGGGGAGCAAACAGGAUUAGAUACCCCUGUA
This 446-nucleotide ribosomal RNA is filed under the name uncultured bacterium. RNAcentral's name for it is "bacterial SSU rRNA". It matches the Rfam family "Bacterial small subunit ribosomal RNA", at positions 329 to 792 of the family's 1533-position model. The record is from RNAcentral.